This 254-nucleotide ribosomal RNA is filed under the name uncultured bacterium. Its description in RNAcentral is "partial 16S ribosomal RNA". It matches the Rfam family "Bacterial small subunit ribosomal RNA", at positions 524 to 777 of the family's 1533-position model. The record is from RNAcentral.
UACGGAGGGGGCUAGCGUUGUUCGGAAUUACUGGGCGUAAAGCGCGCGUAGGCGGACCUGCAAGUCGGGGGUGAAAGCCCGAGGCUCAACCUCGGAACUGCCUUCGAUACUGCGGGUCUCGAGUCCGGGAGAGGUGAGUGGAAUUCCUAGUGUAGAGGUGAAAUUCGUAGAUAUUAGGAAGAACACCAGUGGCGAAGGCGGCUCACUGGCCCGGUACUGACGCUGAGGCGCGAAAGCCAGGGGAGCAAAGCGGG